RNAcentral lists this ribosomal RNA (207 nucleotides) under uncultured bacterium. RNAcentral's name for it is "partial 16S ribosomal RNA". It matches the Rfam family "Bacterial small subunit ribosomal RNA", at positions 568 to 774 of the family's 1533-position model. The record is from RNAcentral.
UGCGUAGGCGGCGCAGUAUGUCGGAAGUGAAAUCUCACGGCUCACCCGUGAAAUGUCUUCCGAAACUAUUGUGCUAGAGUACGGGAGAGGAGAGCGGAAUUCUUGGUGUAGCGGUGAAAUGCGUAGAUAUCAAGAAGAACACCGGUGGCGAAAGCGGCUCUCUGGACCGAUACUGACGCUGAGGCACGAAAGCUGGGGGAGCAAAGA